UUUCCGUAGGUGAACCUGCGGAAGGAUCAUUCAUAAUAAAGUGUUUUAUGGCGCUUUUUAAAAAUCCAUAUCCACCUUGUGUGCAAUGUUAGAUCUCGUCAAUCUUGGCGAGAUUUUUAUACAUCAACUCAUUCUUUAACUAAUUUGUCUGAAAAGUAUUAUGAAUACUUAAUUCAAAAUACAACUUUCAACAACGGAUCUCUUGGCUCUC
This 211-nucleotide unclassified non-coding RNA is filed under the name plant metagenome. RNAcentral describes it as "partial contains small subunit ribosomal RNA, internal transcribed spacer 1, and 5.8S ribosomal RNA". The record is from RNAcentral.